Rosa rugosa (rugosa rose) is the source of this 548-nucleotide long non-coding RNA. RefSeq lists it as uncharacterized. NCBI's taxonomy places the organism in Eukaryota, Viridiplantae, Streptophyta, Magnoliopsida, Rosales, Rosaceae. The record is from RefSeq and is a predicted model, not a curated record. The transcript is spliced from 3 exons.
GAUAAAGAGAGAGGUACAGCUUCAGACUGUGAGAGUGCUAGAACGAUCUAGAGAUAGAGAGGGAGAUAAACUGAGACUGCAAUCUGAUCCGUCAUCGCUGCAGGCAGAAAAAGAAAGGCGAAGACGAUUGUUCAUCUUCCCGUGAUUCGAGACAUCUGGCAUGGUCUCUAUCAAAGUUUAAACAUGCACUGACAUUCAAAGGAGGAGACAACGAAUCAAUUUGUGUGUUGUCUUGGAAAAGGGUUGCAGUUCAUAGUGGCUCUAAUUGGUGUGAUUCAGCUGUGAGUUUUUGGCUUUUUUCUAUGGAUGACAGGUAAAUCUUCAAAAUUUGUCAUCUCAUUUACAACAAUGAGAUAUUUUUUUUUUUUUAAUUCUAAAAAUCCCAUUGAUCUUCAAAAAAUGCAGUUGGGUCUUUAAUAAGUUAAUCCUAUAUUAGUAGGUUUAUAUUUUGUUCAAUUUUGCUCUUAAAUUAACUGAAUCUUCCCUUUUUCUCCAUUUUCAUUCUUUCAUUCAUAUUUUGCCCUAUGUACUAUUUGGGUAUACUAAGC